CCUACGGGUGGCAGCAGUGGGGAAUAUUGGGCAAUGGGCGCAAGCCUGACCCAGCAACGCCGCGUGAAGGAUGAAGGCUUUCGGGUUGUAAACUUCUGUGAUCAGGGACGAAGAAAGUGACGGUACCUGAGUAAUAAGCCACGGCUAACUACGUGCCAGCAGCCGCGGUAAUACGUAGGUGGCAAGCGUUAUCCGGAUUUACUGGGCGUAAAGGGGGUGUAGGGGGGACAGCAAGUCAGAUGUGAAAACCAGGGGCUCAACCUGUGGGCUACAUUUGAAACUGUAGUCCUUGAGUGCUGGAGAGGCAGACGGAAUUCCUAGUGUAGCGGUGAAAUGCGUAGAUAUUAGGAGGAACACCAGUGGCGAAGGCGGUCUGCUGGACAGCAACUGACGCUGAGGCGCGAAAGCGUGGGGAGCAAACAGGAUUAGAUACCCUAGUAGUC
Molecule: ribosomal RNA, 443 nt
Filed under: uncultured bacterium
Lineage: Bacteria
Description: partial 16S ribosomal RNA
Rfam family: Bacterial small subunit ribosomal RNA
Source: RNAcentral